ACUCCUACGGGAGGCAGCAGUGGGGAAUAUUGGACAAUGGGCGAAAGCCUGAUCCAGCCAUGCCGCGUGUGUGAAGAAGGUCUUCGGAUUGUAAAACUCUGUUGUAAGGGAAGAACAAGUACAGUAGUAACUGGCUGUACCUUGACGGUACCUUAUUAGAAAGCCACGGCUAACUACGUGCCAGCAGCCGCGGUAAU
RNAcentral lists this ribosomal RNA (197 nucleotides) under uncultured bacterium. RNAcentral's name for it is "partial 16S ribosomal RNA". It matches the Rfam family "Bacterial small subunit ribosomal RNA", at positions 335 to 524 of the family's 1533-position model. The record is from RNAcentral.